UGUAUGUAUGUAUGAAAGAGUAUAUGACUUAAGUUUUGUCCAUCUCAGUCAAGUGCACUUGAGGUCUUCCUCCACCAAUAAUGCUAAAACAUGGCAAUAAGACCUUUACUGUGUUGUUGUGACGUAAAAUGCAAUCAAAUAAAAAAAUAAAUUCAUCUCAGCCUGUUAGAAUCGUAAUGAAUUCCUGACCACAAAUACCUGUGAUAGAUUUAUCAUUGUCUUACAAUUUAAUAUCUAGAGGCAUUGCCUAAUUUUAAAGAAUUACAUGUUUAGCUCUUUUGAAAUCCUUAUUAGAUUUUAAUGUUUCAAAAUAAUUUGUCUACAUUUUAUUCUUUACAGAUACUUUUUGUUGAUUUACAGACACGACAUGUGAAAAGCCUACAGGACAAUGAUAUGUUUGUAGCAAGAGGAAGGGCAUUUGAACUUCAAAAAGAGAAAAGGAGAAAAAGGUCUGCCGAAGAAAAGCUCCUAUUGAUGAAACGUUUUUGAAAUCUGGAAAACCACCUGUAGAAGCAGAUUUGACUUUAUGUCUAUAAAGGAGUACAGCUCUGGCAUCAUUUCCAUGGGUGUACAUUAGACAUUAAAUACGGGUUUAUAAUAGCUGAGGAUAAAAAGUAUCAAAUUAUUAAUAUUGGCUAACUCUAGAGGGAAGUAUUGUAUCAAAAUCAACAAGUGCUUAAUCAUUAUUUGAUCACUUUAGUUUAACAAUGUAUCUAUGAUCAAUAUGUCCAUCUAGUCUACACCAUACUGAUGUACUUCAUGACAUUAUUAUUGUAAAUGCAGAAAUAAGUUUAAGUGUGUCUCAUUACUUAGAUAUCGUAACAAAUUAUGAUAAACACAGAAUUUAAUAAUAAUUGUUUGAGACCUUAAGUAUUGUCAUAUGUGUUCUAAGAAUGCCGUGUCAUAUUCUCAUGAGUUGUACAAAAUAUAAUUUUAACAAGUAAAUCAAGAGAAGAAUAGAACAUCAGGAUGGUUUGUAAGUGGUUUGUUAAAAUAUAACUUUAUAAGAUGCAAUACCUUUUAAAGAUAUCUUGGUAAAGAAUGUUAUAUAAUAUGUUCUGACUUAAUGUCCUCAACUGAAAAGAAUGUUUUUAUGGCCCCAAGAUAAUGGCAAGGGGCAUAUAAUUGUUACCGUUGUCUGUCUGUCCCUGUGUGAACUAUUGUUAGAAAAUCUUGUCAGGCCCAUAACUCUGUCAUGCAUCAAGGGAAUUUUAAACGUUUUGUCACAAAUGUUGAGCAUGAUAGGACGAUAUGUGUCAAGCGCAUGACGUAGACCCCUAGAUUCAAGGUCACAAAGGUCAAAAGUCAGCAGUUAGAAAAUCUUGUCCAGUCCAUAACUGUCUUACAUCAAGGGAUUUGGAUGAUGUGUCAUGUGCAUGACCUAGACACUUAGCUAACUACAGACAUUUGAAAUCUAAGUGUUAUAUUGACCUUUCAAGAUAACACUAAGAGGUCAAAUGUCAGCAAUUUUUUAAUCUUGUUUGGCCCAUUUAAGUCUGCGAAGGAAAACUGUGAAUUUGGCACAACAUGUUUACCAGGAUGAGAUGGUGUGUCAUGCACAAGAUCAAGAGUCUUAGGUCAAGGUCAUGUUUAGAGGUCAAAGGUCAGCAAUUUGAUAAUUUGUGCUCUGUCACAUUGAAAUUAAGGAUUUUUUAAUAUUAAAGAUAUGUUUUAUCAACAUCCAUCUGUACUCUUACUUGAAAAGGUCAUUUGUGGCACAACAAUUCUGUCAUGUCAGAUGUUUCGAUGUUCUAACAUAUAUAGGAAGGGCAUCUGUGUCUCAGACACAUUUCUAGGGUUUGCUUGUUUCUUACAUGAUACUUAAAUAAAAAGUAAGAAAAGGAAUAUUAUUUUUUCCAAAAAAUUGAUAAGUAGACAAAUAAUCUUUGUUUGAUUGUUUUUGUAUGUAUGUGAGUCUUUUCUCAACUAGUCAUACUGCUGUUCCAAACAUGAUGUACAUGUGUAUAUGUUUUUGGCAAAAAACAGUCAUGAUGUAUAUGUUUUCGGCAAAAGGAAUCUUGCUGAUUUUGCAAUUUACUGUGAUGAAAUUUUAUAUUUAGAUUGAAUAAUAAUUUUGCCAUUGUCAUUUGUUGUUGGUUAAUAAAACAAGUGUAAUAAAAAGUACCUUAUGCUAUGUUAAAAAGAAACGAUCAUGUAUUUGAUUUAAGCUAGCCUUUUCAAUGAAAAAGAAGAGCUUUCCUGCUAUCCCUAUUAUAUGCCAUUGAGUCACAUCUUAGAAAAAGUUUUUUUGUGACAAAGUAUUAAAACUAUGGUUUUGAAACUUGCCAUACUUGUUGACCAUCAUUAUUGUCCAUCUAUUGUCUUUUUUUAUUAGAAAAUGUACUUAAUGUCUUUUAACUUUGAAUGAUUGUUUAAAUCAUUACCCAAUCUGUUGACAAGAGAAGGUGACCCCAUUAGGAAUUUAAAGAUAUACUAUGCUCAAAUUUGAUAUCAGAAAAUAUUGAUAAUUGCUACAUAGUCUCUUUGUAAAAAUGAAAUAAACAUGUUUUGACUUUACAUAAAGUUUAUAUGUCAUGUUUAAAACUCUACAAACUAUAGGUCGUCACAAUAUGAAUAUAUAGUGUCGUUAAAAAAACUGGCAGUUUUUUUAAGAAAAGACCAAUUUUACUUGUCCUAUAAUAGACCAUGUGACUUCCAAUGCAUAGUUGUUUUCAUUUUUUAUUCAAAUUAGACAUACUCAGUAAGAAUUUCAUAGGUUUAAAUAAAUUUCUUUGAUCAAAAUAUUUUACUCAAAGAUGAGCAUAGUAUAUCUUUAAGUUUUCAUAGACCUUUGUUAGGUUUUUGGUCUCUGCCAAAGUUUUGUUUAUAGGCGAGCAAUAAAAACUUAAGCAUUCAGUCCUGUUGACUGCUCCUUUUUUAAGUUACAUACCAUUAUUUGGAUUUUGUAGUUACCUUUAGAGUAUAUAAUCAGAUUUUGGCCAUGUAACAGUUUUGUUAAAACUUAAACAUCUGAUCUGUAAGACUCAUUUAUGUUUACUAAGCAUUUAUUUCAAUUAAAACAAGGAAAAACAUAAAUAUUAGGCCUAUUGUAUAAUUUUUUUAAAUUUUUGCAUUAAAAAUAACUUAUUUAGAAGUAAAUUAAUAGUAUUUCAAAUUCUACUAAAACAUUAUCACCUCCUUUUUUAAUACUUUAUGGGGAUCUAAAUCUUUGUACAUGCAAUGUCUACAUAGGCCUUUUUGUUUAAUUUUAUAUACAAAAAAGUAUAUAUUGUCAAAGCAUGAUUGCAUAACAUAUUAGAAUGACUUGUAUUCAAAUAAAGCUUGAAUUGUAUAA
Long non-coding RNA from Ruditapes philippinarum (Manila clam), 3295 nucleotides. RefSeq lists it as uncharacterized. The transcript has 2 exons. The record is from RefSeq and is a predicted model, not a curated record. Lineage: Eukaryota; Metazoa; Mollusca; Bivalvia; Venerida; Veneridae.